GCCACCUCCAUGGCAACAGAUGCUGUCAAAAGCCUCAGGUUCGCUUGGAGGAUGAGGAGUGAAUUGCCAGGAACCAGCAAGCGAGGCUGAAGAACAGAAAUCUGAAGACGGCAGGCAGCUUCAAUACGUGGGAAAAACAGUGAAAAAGCCUAGCGCCACCAGGAUGGAGUAGGCCGUUAACGUAGAUUUGAAAGGGUAGUUCCCAGGUAAUGGAGAGAAGGGGCGAUGGAGAGAGAAGGCUCAUCUUACUCUGAGGCAUCGAGGGACCUGAACCACCUCUUGCGUGGACGAAUGCUCUCCCUGUAGGAGAAAAAGGCAAUUAACGUGUGUGGCGAAGAGCGAGAAGAAACAGCAACCGUGACAGGAAUCGUUAGCUCUGGCUUCUUUUGUGUGGGUACCGCAAGGUCAGAGCUUGAACAAGGGGAAAACCGGCAUAUGUCUUCGCUAACAAGCAUGACAACCAAGUAGCUGAGUCGAUUCAUGUUGCGAUCCAGAGAAACCCUAGUCUUUGACAGGAUCUGGGAAGUGAGGAUUCUGUUUUCCACGACUGCAAACUACCCUUCUUGUUCCCUACCUCUUCUCGAUGUGUGUGCUGCACUGACGUUGAUCUUGGACUGGCGUCCUCUUUGCAUACGUACGCGUUCUCUUCUGCGUCACAUCUCUCAAAAGGAGGCUCUGCACCAUCUCUGUUUCGAACGGAGGCUGUUAGGGAAAAGAGGAAGUCUUUUGGGUCAUCGAAACGAGAGUGGAGUGGGGAAAGCUGAUAUCCGUGUUCUGCUGAAAGACCCACCAACCCUGUCUUCCUCGUUAAAAAUCCAAAAGAAGCGCUUCAGAGAAGAGCUAGAGAACAGGAAAAGAAGUGUAGGUGCCGUGCGGUGGCGUAGCCACAGCCCCGGGCGCCCGUCUCGGCGAGGAAGCGGCUGGAGAUGGCUUGGUCCGGUCAGGGUCUUUCCAUCAGCAAGUUCCUUUGCGGUGAUUCAGCGUUCCUCCCCUUGGCUGCUGAGCCGCGUGCAAGCCUCCAAGCGCUCCUGCCUGUAACGUGACCCCUGAGAAGUGUCGAGCAAGCUCCCUGCCCGCCAGGACUGCUGUGGCACGGCUGGAGAUAACCAGUGUGGCAUGAGAGCUGAGCGAAAUCUGCAGAGCAGCGGGAGCAAGCAGGAGACAGCUAAGAAACGGAGGCCUUUACUGAAGGCUCAGUGGGGCAAAAAGCUUCUUGAGUUCAGCCAGCUCGUGGUCCAUCCUCCCUAACAUCAUCUGCUGAGCUGUUUCUCCCACCAAGGAGACCUUACCUACCUCUGUGGUGCGGGACAGCAAUAUCCCUAUGCUACUCUUUCUACACCAAUAGCAGCAGCUGGGGGAGCCUCACCCCCCCAAGUCACGCUAGCACCGAGCACAUCUGGCUGCACGGGAAGCGCCUGAUCACUGACACUUUUCCUCUUCUGCAACUGCAAAGAGUUUGGAUCGUGGUAUCGGGCAUUCGCAUGUGACUCACACGUCAGGAAAUGAAGGAGGAGGAGCAGACGGCGGCAGCAUUUCUGAAGCAAGCAAGCACUGAAGGCGUGCUCAGUAGUAGCUCAGUCCCUUGCCAGUGCCACUGUUGUGACAUCUACAGCUUGUGGUGUCACCUGGUCAGCGUGGACAGAGGCGCAGUUCACAUGGCAGCACAUUGAACAACAGUCCCAUCUCAAAGUGCUGUUGUCGCCUAGUGGUCCUGUGCUGGUCCGGAGAUGUGUCGGCCUUACGGACUGCAGAAACUUCAUUCAGUUAUAGUCUUGAUCUGCACAGAUGCAAAAGCUGCUGCUGGACCUCAUUUCUUUAGGGCACCUUUUGUAGCUAAGUACCAUGCGCACCCCGUGGAUGUUCUUGCAGGAAGGCUGGCACCGCAGAGUUUGGCAGCAGCACAUGCCCCUUCAGUCCUGCCAUGCCUAGCCACAGCAGGAUUGCUCCUGCCCACGGCCUCCUUCUCCUCCUCUGUACUAAAGGGCUUCUCCGUGCUCGGCUACGGCAGAGGUGUCCAAGUCACUGCCCCACUUUACUGCGCCUGGGCCCUGGAGGACACCAGCUUUGCAAGAGGUGGUCCAAAGGUGCCGACAAGGUGCAGCAGGAGAGGGCGGGAGCACAAAUGUCCAGACAAUACUAUCAAGACUGCUAAAGCUGUCAGUACAACCACAAACAUGGCUGACCCUGGCGAGAGGUGUCACUAGCAGGGGGGAAUCUCGACUCUGUCCUUGCUGAAGACUUAGAAGCCCAUGCCACUAGAAAGAUGAGCCCAUGCCAUGAACAGCCUUUGCUGCUAUUCAGCAUGAAAAUGGUUUUAGUGGUUGUGCAUCUAGAAUGACACUUUUACUGCUCAAGAAGAGCUGGCCUGUUCGAUGUUAUCCGUGUGUGUGUGUGUGUGUGUGUGUAUAUAUAUAUAUAUAUAUAUAUAUAUAUAUAUAUAUAUAUUUUUACAAAUNNNNNNNNNNNNNNNNUAUAUAUAUAUAUAUAUAUAUGCUAUUACAAAUUGUAUUUGUAUUAUUCAGAAUAUGGCCAGAAGCGGCUAUUAAUUUUGCAACACCUCUGAUAGUCAACAUUUAUUUUUUCCGUUGUCUAAAAAGUUGUGCCCCUUGUAGUUAAUUUUUCUUACUCUGCAACCUGAAUAAGACCUUUUCCAGUGAACUAUAUAAGCAACGGGAUGCAUUGGUGUGACUAUUUAGUAGUGCUGUGAACAGUGAAGUACAAAACUGAGUCUUGAUCAGCUUGAUACAAAAUGUCCGGCAUCUAAAUGUCACCGAAUGAGAAAAAUGCUUCAGUCUUGAGUUAAUGAAUUGCUUCACAUAAAGCCAACUAACUAUAAGGCAGACUUAGAUGUCCAUAUGAAACAGUACCUGUGUCCAGUGAUGAACCAAACAUUCUAUAAAAUGCUACCAUAUAAAGAUGUUAAUAAAAGCAUAGCUUCUUUACA
Long non-coding RNA from Struthio camelus australis, 2944 nucleotides. Lineage: Eukaryota; Metazoa; Chordata; Aves; Struthioniformes; Struthionidae. The record is from Ensembl.